GUAUUGAUAUGUAUGUUUGAAAAUAUGUUGUGUGUUAUGUUGAGAAUGAUAUGAGAGAUGUAAUGUUUGAGUAAUGAAUGCAUGCGUAGUUGUCUUUGUUUAUGAUCUCGUGAUCAAUCAAAUUGUUUUUUAUGGACUCCACUGAAGUACGACCCAUGUUGGACAUUGUUAAAAAGGACCAUCUGCCAGCUCUCGCCAUCCAAUAUGCUCCAACGUCAUGUUGAGAAUUUAUUGGAAGAGUUGGAUCGUCCAAUAAAUUGCCCCAGUAUCUUUGUCAUAGUCUUCACGAUAAUCUUUCUA
RNAcentral lists this long non-coding RNA (300 nucleotides) under Lupinus angustifolius (narrow-leaved blue lupine). RNAcentral's name for it is "long non-coding RNA (LANG_LNC000787)". The record is from RNAcentral. Lineage: Eukaryota; Viridiplantae; Streptophyta; Magnoliopsida; Fabales; Fabaceae.